AGCGGCGCAGCUUAGCUGGUUAGAGCGUACGGUUACCCGUAAGGUUGGGGGUUUGAUCCCUUCUGCCACUAUCA
Molecule: transfer RNA, 74 nt
Filed under: Peribacillus loiseleuriae
Lineage: Bacteria; Bacillati; Bacillota; Bacilli; Caryophanales; Bacillaceae
Description: Bacillus loiseleuriae tRNA-OTHER
Rfam family: tRNA
About the family: Transfer RNA (tRNA) molecules are approximately 80 nucleotides in length. Their secondary structure includes four short double-helical elements and three loops (D, anti-codon, and T loops). Further hydrogen bonds mediate the characteristic L-shaped molecular structure. tRNAs have two regions of fundamental functional importance: the anti-codon, which is responsible for specific mRNA codon recognition, and the 3' end, to which the tRNAs corresponding amino acid is attached (by aminoacyl-tRNA synthetases). tRNAs cope with the degeneracy of the genetic code in two manners: having more than one tRNA (with a specific anti-codon) for a particular amino acid; and 'wobble' base-pairing, i.e. permitting non-standard base-pairing at the 3rd anti-codon position.
Source: RNAcentral